Grus americana (Whooping crane) is the source of this 2637-nucleotide long non-coding RNA. RefSeq lists it as uncharacterized. The record is from RefSeq and is a predicted model, not a curated record. Lineage: Eukaryota; Metazoa; Chordata; Aves; Gruiformes; Gruidae. The transcript has 5 exons.
GGGGGCCUGGAGGGUCCCCCAGAGCACCCUGGAGCCAGCCCCAUGCCCCCCCGCCUCCCUGGGGAUGCCUGGGCGGGCAGGACCCUUUGCGACACCCCACUGCACCGCAGCGUGGGGUGACGGGAUGGGGCAGGAGCACGGAGCCGGCGAGGAGCCCCCGAGCGCAGCCCAUGUCUUUCCCCAAAGCUUCCGAUUUCCCACCCCUUACCCCUUUCUUUCAUCCUGUGGGAUGGCGGAGAGAUCCCCCCACCCAGGGUGGCCUGGGAGGAGGACAGCACUCCCCAGGAGAGCAGCUCUCCGUGGGAACCCCAUGAGAUGUGUUGGUGGGCACGGUGCUGCCGGAACGCCGGGGCUGGGCUGGCAGCGAUGCUGCCGGUUCCUCAUCCCGUGGCACCGGUCGUGCUCCACCAUCGUGGCCCAUCCACCGGGCACCCUUCAGCCCUGGCACACGUGGGAAGGCUGUGCUGGGGAGCGGGCACGGGGCUGGGCGCGGGGCAGAGCUCCUUCCUCGGCUCUCUCCUGUCGCCCUCCCUGCUCUUCUCCUUUACUAGAUGCCGGGUGGUUAUCAGUGCGCCAAGAGGAGGAGGAGGAAGCUGUGAACUUCAUCCAGGCCUUGGUCAGCAGCCCAGAAAAGGUGCUGCUGGAAGAGGAGCCCAAUGGUGUGGCGGAAAGCCACGCUCACCAUCGCCGCCUCGCUCCUUCCCACCCCACUUCAGCUACUCGUCUUCCCUGGGGGUGACCCCGAGGAGGAGGAGGAGGAGGGCGUGCUGGGGAGCAUGGGGAGGGUUCUGAUGGAGCUCCGUGCCUAGGGCUUGCCGUGCGCCCCCUGAGGGACCAAAACAAGGAGAAGCUGUCUGAGAUGUGCAGUGCUCUUCCCAUUUGCCCUCCACCAGGCAGCCCGGACACCGGCACCCAGCCAGCUCUGAAGGUUCCUGAGCAUGGUCACGCUGGGCAGCAGCUCCAUGGAUCUUCUCGGGCUGCCAGAGCUCCUGGCAGGUCCUGUGGACCACCACGGCCACACAACGGAGCUGUACCAGAAGAUGACAGCUCCUGGCGUGAGAGCACAGAGCCGUUAUCUGCUGUGAAGAGCGACGUUCCUCCACCACAAAACUCACCCAGGACAGGCCGUGGUCUCCUGUGGAAGAGCGAGGUUCCUCCAAACUUCAGCCACGUUCACCGGAAGGCGGCAACGCCCCAAGGGGAGGCACGUGAGAAGGAACAUGGCCUUUGGUGUGCUCCUCAGCUCCUGCUCCGACAUCGCCCCCUGCUCACGUAAGGUCGUGCUUUGCAGCACUGGUUACGACAUUCUUUUUGGGCAACUCCCCUAUUUUUUUCCCCCUCCCUAACCUUUCUGAAGGAAUAAUUGCUUCAGAAGCAGCUUCCUGCUGCUUUCCCACAUUUUUAUGCUGCUAUUACAGAGGCAUCAGGACUUAACGAGUCAUUCUCCAAAUAACCUCAACCUCUUAAAACAACCCGGAGAAACGCACCGAACCCCAAUUCCAUUUCCAAGGGGAGAAAUAUGUAAAUCCAGUAUCUCUCUGCUAUUGCAGGCGGGGAUGAUGCUAGCGCAGCAUCAUCGUUAAGGGAAGAGCGUCAAACCGGUAUAAAAUGGACAAUUUGAGAACAAGACAGAAGAGCAGUUACAGAACGGACUGACACGCCGUCUCUGCCUGCGGCCAACGAAAGAGAGCCAAGUAUCAACACUAAAAAAAAAAAAAACCCAAAAAAUAAUCGCCGACCAACGAGGACGGCAGAGGGGACAUCGAUUAGUCGAGGUCACCAGCUCCUCGUAGGCUUUGUAAAAGUUAUUUCGAAACCUGAACUUUGGGCUCAUCUCGAUCUGACAGUAUCCCUUGAAACAAAAGGAACAUUUCAUUAUUCAAUUGAAAUGACUUGACCAGACACAUUCAACGUAAUUCAUCUAUCGGCCGCUUACAUUACACUUCAUGCAGUAUUACAGAAAUAAGAGACUGAUAUAAAAGCCAUCUGAAGACGCAGCGUCACAGUGAGAUAGUGCAAUGUGCCUCAGGACACGGAAACUUUAAUCUGUGGGUCCUCAAAUCAACAAAUUCAUCAAUGGAAAAGAAAAAAAAAAAAAAAAAUACCUUCAGCAAUACGCUUCCAGAGGGGGGAGACUAUGGCAUGGUUUUCAGCAUAGCAAAAGUGUGCACAGUGAAACGCAUCCGAGUUCAACCGGUUCGUGAAGUUUUUUUACAAUUUAGAAAGAACAAAACCAGGUCGUCUUCCUGCCCAAACAAGGGUAAAUCUACCAAGAACAAGAGGAGGUUUCUCAAAGGCACAGUCUCAACAGAUAACAGCUGUUACAGAGCAAGCAAUACGAGUUUGUAUUUCUGUGCCACGGAAUAAUUGAGAGAAUAUGCUAAAGUACUUAAAUUUCAAUUUUCUUUCUCCUUUUUUUUUUUUAAUACAGCAAAUUUUUUUUUUCCCCUGUGGGGAAUCUCUGCUAAUUUUACUUCUUUUGUGAGCAGCAUGUAUACGACGUACCUAUGACAAAAAAACCCAACUCAGUAUUGAGAAGCUAGUAACUUUUUAUAACAAAUCAUUUCUCGAGGAGAUGAGUCGUUAGAGCUGCGAAGUGACUCUGCCGUGAGAAAGGAAGUCUGAGGAUCCUGAGAG